UCCCUGAUGAUCCAAUGGUUGGGAACCUGCCUCCAAAGCAGGGGACACGGGUUCAAUCCUUGGUCAGGGAA
Molecule: non-coding RNA, 71 nt
Organism: Bos taurus (domestic cattle)
Lineage: Eukaryota; Metazoa; Chordata; Mammalia; Artiodactyla; Bovidae
Source: Rfam